This is a long non-coding RNA of Felis catus (domestic cat), 1059 nucleotides long. RefSeq lists it as uncharacterized. The transcript has 2 exons. The record is from RefSeq and is a predicted model, not a curated record. Lineage: Eukaryota; Metazoa; Chordata; Mammalia; Carnivora; Felidae.
UGUGAGCAGGAGGACAAGUGUCACUGUCAGCUCACUCCGAAGUGUUUUCAGGGUUAGGGUUUAGAAAAGUAGAUGGGGACUGGACGGGCUGGAGGUAGGUGUUUAGAAGGGAAGAUCACUUCUCGUGGAAGAUGGGCACUGGUUCCAGUGUGCAGCACUUCCUGACUCCAGAAGCCCCAUCUACUCGUUCUCCGUAGGAACACCGAGCCGGCGCUAAGUCUUUCCACCCUUCGCGUCUGCCUCCAACCCCAUCACCUCUUCUCUCCUCCUGCUCCUGUUUUAGCCUGAACGCUGCAAAGCUUAGAAGUGUGCAGAGUCGCCGGUCAAGAGCACAUGCGAUGCUGACUGGCCUUAAGUCCUCCAGCUCCAGGCGGGUGGCUUUGCCUGACUUCCGAUCUUGAGCCCAGCAGUCUCAGGGGUCCGCAGUUCGCGUCCUCGCCUUACCCAGGUUUUGUGGGCGUCACUUCGGCUUCCUUGCAACGGUGCAAACUGCUUGCAGACAGGAAGACAAAACUGCGAGUUCCAUGAGACAAAGCACCAUUUGGAUUUUGCUCAUCCUUAUAGCCCUGGUGCCGGACCUGACAUUUACUUCUCACCUGCUUGUACUCACCAACCUUUGUCUCACAUUUUUCCUUGAACUCUUCUUUCCCGCUUACCUCUUAACUCAGGGCAAAGAAGCCGGAAACCACCUGACAAGACCUCUUGCUGGGCCCAGACCUCCUAGACCUUUUGAGCUACACCCCCACUAGCGUCUAUGCAAAUGGACUAGGGAGUAACCUCAGGAAUGACCUACCAUUACCUUUAUCUCCUGUCAAUACUAAAAUCCUAGCCCAAGGAAGAGCACAAGCCUCAUUGACACAGCAUACAAUGUGUUUAUCAGCAUGUUUCCUUAAGGUGCAUGCGUGACCUUGUGCCCACCUGUACAUAUGAUGACAAGGCUUGCCUAUCUAAGUAUUUAUCCUAACCCUAAACAAAAGGAACCCAUGGGGAGUCAUGGCUUUGGAAGCCAUUCCCUGUGAUCUCAUUUGCUGCAAAUAAAAGUUUUCUUUGUGAGAUGCU